GAUUAACGCUAGCGGCAGGCAUAAUACAUGCAAGUUGAACGGCAGCACAGGUAGCAAUACUGGGUGGCGAGUGGCGCACGGGUGCGUAACACGUAUGCAACCUACCCUAUACAGGCGAAUAACCUUUAGAAAUGAGGGCUAAUACGCCGUAGUAUUACAGAUGGGCAUCUAUUUGUAAUUAAAGAUUUAUCGGUAUAGGAUGGGCAUGCGUCCCAUUAGUUAGUUGGUAAGGUAACGGCUUACCAAGACGAUGAUGGGUAGGGGAUCUGAGAGGACUUACCCCCACACUGGUACUGAGACACGGACCAGACUCCUACGGGAGGCAGCAGUAAGGAAUAUUGGGCAAUGGCCGCGAGGCUGACCCAGCCAUGCCGCGUGCAGGAAGACGGCCUUAUGGGUUGUAAACUGCUUUUAUACGGGAAUAAUAGAGUGUACGCGUACAUUUAUGCAAGUACCGUAUGAAUAAGCAUCGGCUAACUCCGUG
This 484-nucleotide ribosomal RNA is filed under the name uncultured bacterium. Its description in RNAcentral is "partial 16S ribosomal RNA". It matches the Rfam family "Bacterial small subunit ribosomal RNA", at positions 28 to 507 of the family's 1533-position model. The record is from RNAcentral.